GUUUGUCGAUAUAAAAUAUCUUGACCAGGUUUUUGUCUGGCACGAUUAGGGGGAAAUUCUAAAGAUUUUGGCCAGGUUUAUCUCAACAGCUAGUUGUUAUGAUGAACGUGACGAGAAUACUGAUGAAAUAAAAAUCAGUUCGAGACUUGCUCGACCAAAUUCAAAAUGGCGAUGCCGAUGAAAACCAAGCACGCCUGUGCAGGAUUGCUGUGUUGUCAAGCCAAAGUUAAGUAUUUUGCUUCCCUGUUAAUCUCCGGCCCUUCUGCCAAUCGUUUGGUCAGAAAAAACAGUAAACAGUGAUAGAAUAUGGAAUGCCCAGCGUUAGCAAUUUGCAAAUUAAUUUCAAAGUCUCCAAGGAAAGGAUUAAAUGAAAUAAAAAACUUUCGUCUUUCACCACCAGCAGCGGUGGCCGAGUGGGUUAAGAGAGUGUUUAGUGUAUAGGCGGUGGUUCAAGCUCUUGCAGUGUCAAAUUCUUAUUUAAUUUCAAAGUCUCCAAAGAAAGGAUUAAAUGAAAUAAAAAACUUUCGUCUUUUAUCACCAGCAUGAGGCCAACUGGGUUAGGACAGUGGUCAGUCCAUAGGCGGUGGUACAAGCUCUUGCAGUGUCAAAAAAAUAAGUUGCCAAUUCUCAUUUAAUUUCAAAGUCUGGAUAAGGUGAUAAGUCUAAAAAAUUCUAAGUCUUUCACCACCAGCACUGAUAGCCGGUGGUAAAUCUCUUAGUAAAUCGCCCUUGGAAAUUUACUGGGAAGACUUUUCUAUCUCGUUCGUUGACACACAUCAGCGAGAUGAGGUCACAUCGACGGUCGGUAAAUUUCGACCUCAAACAGGACGAGACAACGAAUGCUGGCUCAAACCGACCACACAACCAAACUCAAACUAACCGGAACAUUCAAAUAUAUCUUUAGCCCGAGUGGACGACGUGAAAAUCUCGCUCGUCGGCGAGAGCUUGCCUGUGGAAUUCUCGACGGGUCCCACUAAACACUGCCCGAGAUGAUUGCCCGAGAUGAUUGCCCGAGAUGACUGCCUGAGAUGAUUUCCCGAGAUGACUGCCUGAGAUGACUGCCCGAGAUGACUGCCUGAGAUGAUUUCCCG
This 1091-nucleotide long non-coding RNA is filed under the name Dendronephthya gigantea. RNAcentral describes it as "uncharacterized LOC114533863". The record is from RNAcentral. Lineage: Eukaryota; Metazoa; Cnidaria; Anthozoa; Malacalcyonacea; Nephtheidae.